GCUUGAAGACCUGGGUUUGGAGCCUGCGCUCAAGGAAGUCCUCGACCUUAAGACCGAGAACGUAAUCGAGCUUCAUCUUGGUCUC
Molecule: small RNA, 85 nt
Filed under: Caenorhabditis elegans
Lineage: Eukaryota; Metazoa; Nematoda; Chromadorea; Rhabditida; Rhabditidae
Description: Unclassified non-coding RNA F40F8.15
Source: RNAcentral